Molecule: ribosomal RNA, 460 nt
Filed under: uncultured bacterium
Lineage: Bacteria
Description: partial 16S ribosomal RNA
Rfam family: Bacterial small subunit ribosomal RNA
Source: RNAcentral
CCUACGGGAGGCAGCAGUGAGGAAUAUUGGUCAAUGGGCGUAAGCCUGAACCAGCCAAGUCGCGUGAGGGAUGAAGGUUCUAUGGAUCGUAAACCUCUUUUAUCAGGGAAUAAAGGGUGGGACGCGUGCUGUUUUGUAUGUACCUUAUGAAAAAGGAUCGGCUAACUCCGUGCCAGCAGCCGCGGUAAUACGGAGGAUCCGAGCGUUAUCCGGAUUUAUUGGGUUUAAAGGGUGCGUAGGCGGCCUUUUAAGUCAGCGGUUAAAGUCUGUGGCUCAACCAUAGAAUGGCCGUUGAAACUGGGAGGCUUGAGUAUGUUUGAGGCAGGCGGAAUGCGUGGUGUAGCGGUGAAAUGCUUAGAUAUCACGCAGAACCCCGAUUGCGAAGGCAGCCUGCCAAGCCAUGACUGACGCUGAUGCACGAAAGCGUGGGGAUCAAACAGGAUUAGAUACCCGAGUAGUC